CGUAGGUGGCAAGCGUUGUCCGGAUUUAUUGGGUUUAAAGGUGCGUAGGCGGUUUUCUAAGUCAGCAGUGAAAUACGGCAGCUCAACUGUCGAGGUGCUGUUGAUACUGGGGAACUUGAGUACUGAUGAGGUAGGCGGAAUGGACGGUGUAGCGUGAAAUGCUUAGAGAUCGUCCAGAACACCGAUAGCGAAGGCAGCUUACUAAGGAGUAACUGACGCUGAGGCACGAAAGUGUGGGGAUCAAACAGGAUUAGAUACCCUGGUAGUCCACACUGUAAACGAUGAUUACUCGAUGUGUGCGAUACACAGCACGCGUCUUAGCAAAUGCGAUAAGUAAUCCUCCUGGGGAGUACGCCGGCAACGGUG
This 366-nucleotide ribosomal RNA is filed under the name uncultured organism. RNAcentral describes it as "bacterial SSU rRNA". It matches the Rfam family "Bacterial small subunit ribosomal RNA", at positions 526 to 896 of the family's 1533-position model. The record is from RNAcentral.